Molecule: long non-coding RNA, 2149 nt
Organism: Beta vulgaris subsp. vulgaris (sugar beet)
Lineage: Eukaryota; Viridiplantae; Streptophyta; Magnoliopsida; Caryophyllales; Amaranthaceae
Exons: 4
Source: RefSeq, a predicted model, not a curated record
AUAUGAUUUUCUGAUUUAUAUUUUAAGCUUAGGAAAUUAAAAGAGAAAAAAAAAACAUCUCAUUCUUUUCUAUCCUUCCUCGUGUCAACUGUUGUUAAAAGAUAACACAUCCUAACUUCCUUCAUUGUGUCAAAGGAGAAAAGCUUUCAAAUUGAGUUGUCAAAAUUUCAUGAAAUAUCCACCAUUGAGAUGUAAUCUCCAUAAGUUUUCUGAUUUUGGGCAAAUCUAAGAACCCCAAUUCUUCAUUCUCGCAUCUCCUCUGUUUUCGUCCAUCUGUUCUGCAAUUUUAUCCAACAUGCAAUCCAAAUUUGCUCCUUGUUUCUUCAUCAAAGUUGUAGAUCUCUUCGAGAUAAUGAAUUAGGGCACAAAAAUCACUCGAUUCGGAGUUCGGAGCUAUGAGUUAUGCCCUUUGCAAGUUUGGUAUUAUUGCUAAAAUUUCUGAUGCGUUGCUGCUGUGCGACAGUAUUUGUUGUUGAUCUUUGAUCAGUUGAAUGUCUUUGCAAGGUCUAUGAUGGAAUAUGGCUAUGAAGAUAAUUUGCGGAAUUUAAGAUUGAGUUGGUCAUCAGAUAUGAGGAUCUUGGAGUUUUGUUAGUAAAGAAUUGGUUUGCAUUUGAGGUUUGUAUUGAGAGCUCAUAGUGGAUCGAAAGUAAAGAAAUGAUUAUUAAAUUGUAAAUAUAUUAGUGAUUCGAAGUUAGAUAUAGAAUAUAAGUUGUAGAAUAUUAAGUUCUCAUUUGAUAUUUAAGUAUUAUAUUAUUUUGGGAUUCGAGUAAGAUAUUAUGUAAUCUGUUAUUUGGUUAUUGAGGAUGAUAUGUUGUGGGCCCUGACCCACAGGUCCAGGAUCGAUAAAAUGUUUUGUUUCCGCUGCGAGUAAAUAUUUAAUUCGGGGUUAUUAAGUGUUAAUUGAGUUUUAUGAAUGUUAAGUAUGAUUAGCUAGCAGCUCGGAAGUGCGGGCUGUUACAGGUGGUAUCAGAGCAUGGUUAUUUCGGAGUUGUUGUGAUCUUCAUAUCAUAGCAUAUAAGUUUAAGGAAGAUAUAUGGGAACGUUUGAAAUUGAUUUGGGUUAUUAGUUAGUUGAAAAUUAAGGAAUUGAAAUUGAGAAAAUCGAAGGUUGAGUGUUGUGAAAAUUGCAAAAGUGGAAAGUUAUAUUGGGAUUUAGAUUUAAGUGGCUAUAAAAGGAAGACCGGAUUAUAUUGAUUGAGAUUGCAGAAAGUUAGGAAAAUUUUCUUUUGAGAUAUUAUAGUUCGUUAUGAGUUCUGAGCUAACUUUUGUGAGAAUGUUUUAUGUAAUGUAUUCGUUUUGAAAUGAUCUAAAGUUUUAAGUUUUUAAAUUUCGAGGACGAAAUUUAUUUUAAGGGUGGUAGAGUGUAACAGUCCGUAUUUUUAAGCAGAUUUAUUAUGAGCUAAAUAUUUAACUUAGCUUAAUUAUGAUAUUCUAUUAGUAAGAUUGAUUUAAAUAUUUUAAGGUAAAAGGGAAUAUUAAUGUUAUAAUGGUAAAUCACUUAUAUGAUUUUCUGAUUUAUAUUUUAAGCUUAGGAAAUUAAAAGAGAAAAAAAAACGUCUCAUUCUUUUCUAUCCUUCCUCGUGUCAACUGUUGUUAAAAGACAACACAUCCUAACUUCCUUCAUUGUGUCAAAAGGAGAAAAGCUUUCAAAUUGAGUUGUCAAAAUUUCAUGAAAUCUCCACCAUUGAGAUGUAAUCUCCAUAAGUUUUCUGAUUUUGGGCAAAUCUAAGAACCCCAAUUCUUCAUUCUCGCAUCUCCUAUGUUUUCGUCCAUCUGUUCUGCAAUUUAAUCCAACAUGCAAUCCAAAUUUGCUCCUUGUUUCUUCAUCAAAGUUGUAGAUCUCUUCGAGAUAAUGAAUUAGGGCACAUAAAUCACUCGAUUCGGAGUUUGGAGCUAUGAGUUAUGCCCUUUGCAAGUUUGGUGUUAUUGCUGAAAUUUCUAAUGCGUUGCUGCUGUGCGACAGUAUUUGUUGUUGAUAUUUGAUCAGUUGAAUGUCUUUGGAAGGUUUGUAUUGAGAGCUCAUAGUGGAUCGAAAGUAAAGAAUUGAUUAUUGAAUUGUAAAUAUAUUAGUGAUUCGAAGUUAGAUAUAGAAUAUAAGUUGUAGAAUAUUAAGUUUUCAUUUGAUAUUUAAGUAUUAUAUUAUUUUGGGA